ACGGAAGGCAGCAGUGGGGGAUAUUGCACAAUGGGCGCAAGCCUGAUGCAGCGACGCCGCGUGAGUGAAGAAGUAUUUCGGUAUGUAAAGCUCUAUCAGCAGGGAAGAAAAUGACGGUACCUGACUAAGAAGCUCCGGCUAAAUACGUGCCAGCAGCCGCGGUAAUACGUAUGGAGCAAGCGUUAUCCGGAUUUACUGGGUGUAAAGGGUGCGUAGGCGGUGAUGCAAGUCAGAAGUGAAAACCCGGGGCUCAACCCCGUGGAUUGCUUUUGAGACUGUGUUGCUGGAGUACAGGAGGGGCAGGCGGAAUUCCUGGUGUAGCGGUGAAAUGCGUAGAUAUCAGGAGGAACACCGGUGGCGAAGGCGGCCUGCUGGACUGUAACUGACGCUGAGGCUCGAAGGCGUGGGGAGCAAACAGGAUUAGAUACCCUGGUA
RNAcentral lists this ribosomal RNA (435 nucleotides) under uncultured Lachnospiraceae bacterium. RNAcentral's name for it is "bacterial SSU rRNA". It matches the Rfam family "Bacterial small subunit ribosomal RNA", at positions 341 to 792 of the family's 1533-position model. The record is from RNAcentral. Lineage: Bacteria; Bacillati; Bacillota; Clostridia; Lachnospirales; Lachnospiraceae.